Molecule: transfer RNA, 77 nt
Filed under: bacterium
Lineage: Bacteria
Also listed under: 1 other name
Description: tRNA-Met
Rfam family: tRNA
About the family: Transfer RNA (tRNA) molecules are approximately 80 nucleotides in length. Their secondary structure includes four short double-helical elements and three loops (D, anti-codon, and T loops). Further hydrogen bonds mediate the characteristic L-shaped molecular structure. tRNAs have two regions of fundamental functional importance: the anti-codon, which is responsible for specific mRNA codon recognition, and the 3' end, to which the tRNAs corresponding amino acid is attached (by aminoacyl-tRNA synthetases). tRNAs cope with the degeneracy of the genetic code in two manners: having more than one tRNA (with a specific anti-codon) for a particular amino acid; and 'wobble' base-pairing, i.e. permitting non-standard base-pairing at the 3rd anti-codon position.
Source: RNAcentral
GGCGGUGUAGCUCAGUUGGUCAGAGCAUGCGGCUCAUAUCCGCAGAGUCGGUGGUUCGAGUCCACCCACCGCCACCA